This 220-nucleotide ribosomal RNA is filed under the name Clostridium sp. Its description in RNAcentral is "partial 23S ribosomal RNA". It matches the Rfam family "Bacterial large subunit ribosomal RNA", at positions 2706 to 2925 of the family's 2925-position model. Lineage: Bacteria; Bacillati; Bacillota; Clostridia; Eubacteriales; Clostridiaceae. The record is from RNAcentral.
CCUCUGGUGUACCAGUUGUUCUGCCAAGGGCACUGCUGGGUAGCUAUGUCUGGACGGGAUAAGCGCUGAAAGCAUCUAAGCGCGAAGCCCCCUUUAAGAUAAGUUCUCCCGCUCGGAAAACGAGGUAAGACCCCAGAGAGAAGAUCUGGUUGAUAGGCCGGGUGUGUAAAGACAGUAAUGUCAAAGCUUACCGGUACUAAUAGGUCGAGGGCUUGACCUU